CCUACGGGCGGCAGCAGUGGGGAAUAUUGGACAAUGGGCGAAAGCCUGAUCCAGCCAUGCCGCGUGUGUGAAGAAGGCCUUCGGGUUGUAAAGCACUUUCAGUGGGGAAGAAAGCCUUGGGGCUAAUACCCUCGAGGAAGGACAUCACCCACAGAAGAAGCACCGGCUAACUCCGUGCCAGCAGCCGCGGUAAUACGGAGGGUGCGAGCGUUAAUCGGAAUUACUGGGCGUAAAGCGCGCGUAGGCGGUCUGAUAAGCCGGUUGUGAAAGCCCCGGGCUCAACCUGGGAACGGCAUCCGGGACUGAUAGGCUAAGGUGAAGAGACGAAUGGGAGAAGCCGCGGAGAAGGGGUGAAAUGCGUGGAGGUAGGGAGGAAUAGCGGUGGGAAAGGCGGCAUUCUAGACUGGCACUGCCGCGGAGGUGCGAAAGCGAGGGUAGAAGACGGGAUUGGAUACCCUGAGG
Molecule: ribosomal RNA, 462 nt
Filed under: Vreelandella stevensii
Lineage: Bacteria; Pseudomonadati; Pseudomonadota; Gammaproteobacteria; Oceanospirillales; Halomonadaceae
Description: partial 16S ribosomal RNA
Rfam family: Bacterial small subunit ribosomal RNA
Source: RNAcentral